This 51-nucleotide non-coding RNA is filed under the name unclassified sequences. The record is from RNAcentral.
CUUGUAAUGCAGCCACUGACAGUGACAAGCCUGUGUAAAUGCAGAGUCAAA